AUGGCAUUCACGUUCGUGGCCUUCUGCUACAUGCUCUCGCUGCUGCUCACUGCCGCACUCAUCUUCUUCGCUAUUUGGCACAUUAUUGCAUUUGAUGAACUGAAGACUGAUUACAAGAAUCCUACAGACCAGUGUUAAUACCCUGAAUCCACUUGUACUCCCAGAGUACCUCAUCGACGCUUUCUUCUGUGUCAUGUUUCUUUGUGCAGCAGAGUGGCUUACACUGGGUCUCAAUAUGCCCCUUUUGACAUAUCAUAUUUGGAGGUAUAUGAGUAGACCAGUGACGAGUGGCCCAGGACUCUAUGACCCUACAACCAUCAUGAAUGCAGACAUUCUAGCAUAUUGUCAGAAGGAAGGAUGGUGCGAAUUAGCUUUUUAUCUUCUAGCAUUUUUUUACUACCUAUACGGCAUGAUCUAUGUUUUGGUGAGCUCUUAGAACAACAUACAGAAGAAUUGGUCCAGUUAAGUGCAUGCAAAAAGCCACCAAAUGAAGGGAUUCUAUCCAGCAAGAUCCUGUCCAAGAAUAGCCUGUGCAAUCUGAUCAGUUACUUUAAAAAAUGACUCCUUAUUUUUUAAAUGUUUCCACAUUUUUUGCUUGUGGAAAGACUGUUUUCAUAUGUUAUACUCGGAUAAAGAUUUUAAAUGGUAUUACGUAUAAAUUAAUAUAAAAUGAUUACCUCUGGUGUUGACAGGUUUGAACUUGCACUUCUUAAGGAACAGUCAUAAUCCUCUGAAUGAUGCAUUAAUUACUGACUGUCCUAGUACAUUGGAAGCUUUUGGUUAUAGGAACUUGUAGGGCUCAUUUUGGUUUCAUUGAAACAGUAUCUAAUUAUAAAUUAGCUGUAGAUAUCAGGUGCUUCUGAUGAACUGAAAAUGUAUAUCUGACUAGUGGGAAACCUCAUGGGUUUCCUCAUCUGUCAUGUAGAUGAUUAUAUAUGGAUACAUUUACAAAAAUAAAAAGUGGGAAUUUUCCCUUCACUUGAA
Nomascus leucogenys (northern white-cheeked gibbon) is the source of this 984-nucleotide RNA transcript. It is a transcript of the gene named protein cornichon homolog 1 pseudogene, with no coding region annotated. The record is from RefSeq and is a predicted model, not a curated record. Lineage: Eukaryota; Metazoa; Chordata; Mammalia; Primates; Hylobatidae. The transcript has a single exon.